This 218-nucleotide ribosomal RNA is filed under the name Campeiostachys nutans. RNAcentral describes it as "Elymus nutans partial small subunit ribosomal RNA". The stretch from base 42 to 218 matches the Rfam family "Eukaryotic small subunit ribosomal RNA", at positions 686 to 864 of the family's 1831-position model. The record is from RNAcentral. Lineage: Eukaryota; Viridiplantae; Streptophyta; Magnoliopsida; Poales; Poaceae.
GAACUAGGAGACGUUGGUCAUGCCACUGGUAUGUACUGGUCUCACUGAUUCCUCCUUCCUGAUGAGCUGUAAUGCCAUUAAUUUGGUGUUGCGGGGAAUCUGGACUGUUACUUUGAAAAAAUUAGAGUGUUUAAAGCAGGCUAACGCCUGAAUACAUUAGCAUGGAAUAAUGAAAUAGGACGUUCGAUCCUAUUUUGUUGGUUUCUAGGAUUGACGUA